Molecule: ribosomal RNA, 266 nt
Filed under: uncultured bacterium
Lineage: Bacteria
Description: partial 16S ribosomal RNA
Rfam family: Bacterial small subunit ribosomal RNA
Source: RNAcentral
GUCCACGCCGUAAACGAUGAAUACUAGGUGUGGGGGGACUGACCCCUUCCGUGCCGGAGUUAACACAAUAAGUAUUCCACCUGGGGAGUACGAUCGCAAGGUUGAAACUCAAAGGAAUUGACGGGGGCCCGCACAAGCAGUGGAUUAUGUGGUUUAAUUCGAAGCAACGCGAAGAACCUUACCAGGGCUUGACAUCCAACUAACGAAGCAGAGAUGCAUUAGGUGCCCUUCGGGGAAAGUUGAGACAGGUGGUGCAUGGUUGUCGU